RNAcentral lists this ribosomal RNA (440 nucleotides) under uncultured bacterium. Its description in RNAcentral is "partial 16S ribosomal RNA". It matches the Rfam family "Bacterial small subunit ribosomal RNA", at positions 338 to 795 of the family's 1533-position model. The record is from RNAcentral.
CCUACGGGUGGCAGCAGUGGGGAAUAUUGGACAAUGGGGGAAACCCUGAUCCAGCGACGCCGCGUGAGUGAAGAAGUAUUUCGGUACGUAAAGCUCUAUCAGCAGGAAAGAAAAUGACGGUACCUGACUAAGAAGCCCCGGAUAACUACGUGCCAGCAGCCGCGGUAAUACGUCGGGGGCGAGCGUUAUCCGGAUUUACUGGGUGUAAAGGGAGCGUAGACGGGAGGGCAAGGCUGGAGGUAAAUGCCCGGGCCCAACCCCGGAACUGCUCUGGAAACUGUGACGCUGGAGUGCAGGAGAGGUAUGCGGAAUGCGUGGUGUAGCGGUGAAAUGCUUAGAUAUCAGGAGGAACACCGACGGCGAAGGCAGCUUACUGGACUGUAACUGACGUUGAGGCUCGAAGGCGUGGGGAGCAAACAGGAUUAGAUACCCCUGUAGUC